GACGAACGCUGGCGGCGUGCUUAACACAUGCAAGUCGAACGGAAAGGCCCCUUUGGGGGUCCUCGAGUGGCGAACGGGUGAGUAACACGUGAGUAACCUGCCCUUGACUUCGGGAUAACUUCAGGAAACUGGGGCUAAUACCGGAUAGGAAUCCUUGCUGCAUGGUGGGGGUUGGAAAGCUUCGGCGGUUUUGGAUGGACUCGCGGCUUAUCAGCUCGUUGGUGGGGUAGUGGCUUACCAAGGCUUUGACGGGUAGCCGGCCUGGGAGGGCGACCGGCCACAUUGGGACUGAGAUACGGCCCAGACUCCUACGGGAGGCAGCAGUGGGGAAUAUUGCACAAUGGGCGGAAGCCUGAUGCAGCAACGCCGCGUGCGGGAUGACGGCCUUCGGGUUGUAAACCGCUUUCAGCAGGGGCGAAGCUUGUGGUGACGGUACCUGCAGAAGAAGCACCGGCUAACUACGUG
RNAcentral lists this ribosomal RNA (465 nucleotides) under uncultured bacterium. RNAcentral's name for it is "partial 16S ribosomal RNA". It matches the Rfam family "Bacterial small subunit ribosomal RNA", at positions 28 to 507 of the family's 1533-position model. The record is from RNAcentral.